RNAcentral lists this ribosomal RNA (466 nucleotides) under uncultured bacterium. RNAcentral describes it as "partial 16S ribosomal RNA". It matches the Rfam family "Bacterial small subunit ribosomal RNA", at positions 28 to 507 of the family's 1533-position model. The record is from RNAcentral.
GACGAACGCUGGCGGCGUGCUUAACACAUGCCAGUCGAACGGGAAGGCUCUAUCUUUCUGGGGUGCACGAGUGGCGAACGGGGGAGGAACACCUGGGGGACCUGGCCUUUACUUCCGGGUUAGCCUGGGAAAAUGGGUGCAAUUCCGGAUAGGUCCAUGGGGUGCCUACUGUGGUGGAAGGAUUUGUCGGUGGGGGAUGGGCUCUCGGCGUGUCAGCGUGUUGGUGCGUUACUGGCUUACUAAGGCGGCGGCGGGUAGCCGGCCUGAGAGGGUGGACGGGCACAUGGGGCCUGAGAGACGGCCCAGAGUCGUACGGGAGGCAGCAGGGGGGAGUAUUGCGGAAUGGGGGGACGCCUGAUGCGGCGACGCCGCGUGCGGGAUGACGGCCUUUGGGUUGUAAACUACUUUCACCGUCGACGAGGGGUUUUUGACGGUAGAUGGAGAAGAAGCACCGGCUAACUACGUG